CGCACGGGUGAGUAACACGUAUCCAACCUGCCGUCUACUCUUGGACAGCCUUCUGAAAGGAAGAUUAAUACAAGAUGGCAUCAUGAGUCCGCAUGUUCACAUGAUUAAAGGUAUUCCGGUAGACGAUGGGGAUGCGUUCCAUUAGAUAGUAGGCGGGGUAACGGCCCACCUAGUCUUCGAUGGAUAGGGGUUCUGAGAGGAAGGUCCCCCACAUUGGAACUGAGAUACGGUCCAAACUCCUACGGAAGGCAGCAG
RNAcentral lists this ribosomal RNA (255 nucleotides) under uncultured bacterium. RNAcentral's name for it is "partial 16S ribosomal RNA". It matches the Rfam family "Bacterial small subunit ribosomal RNA", at positions 99 to 354 of the family's 1533-position model. The record is from RNAcentral.